GACGAACGCUGGCGGCGUGCCUAAUACAUGCAAGUUGAGCGAUGAAGAUUGGUGCUUGCACCAAUUUGAAGAGCAGCGAACGGGUGAGUAACGCGUGGGGAAUCUGCCUUUGAGCGGGGGACAACAUUUGGAAACGAAUGCUAAUACCGCAUAACAACUUUAAACAUAAGUUUUAAGUUUGAAAGAUGCAAUUGCAUCACUCAAAGAUGAUCCCGCGUUGUAUUAGCUAGUUGGUGAGGUAAAGGCUCACCAAGGCGAUGAUACAUAGCCGACCUGAGAGGGUGAUCGGCCACAUUGGGACUGAGACACGGCCCAAACUCCUACGGGAGGUAGCAGUAGGGAAUCUUCGGCAAUGGACGAAAGUCUGACCGAGCAACGCCGCGUGAGUGAAGAAGGUUUUCGGAUCGUAAAACUCUGUUGGUAGAGAAGAACGUUGGUGAGAGUGGAAAGCUCAUCAAGUGACGGUAACUACCCAGAAAGGGACGGCUAACUACGUG
Molecule: ribosomal RNA, 497 nt
Filed under: uncultured bacterium
Lineage: Bacteria
Description: partial 16S ribosomal RNA
Rfam family: Bacterial small subunit ribosomal RNA
Source: RNAcentral